GCGAGAGUGGCGGAAUUGGCAGACGCGCUGGACUUAGGAUCCAGUGCCGAAAGGCGUGUGGGUUCAAAUCCCUCCUCUCGCA
Molecule: transfer RNA, 82 nt
Filed under: Planctomycetota bacterium
Lineage: Bacteria; Pseudomonadati; Planctomycetota
Description: Planctomycetes bacterium (freshwater metagenome) tRNA-Leu
Rfam family: tRNA
About the family: Transfer RNA (tRNA) molecules are approximately 80 nucleotides in length. Their secondary structure includes four short double-helical elements and three loops (D, anti-codon, and T loops). Further hydrogen bonds mediate the characteristic L-shaped molecular structure. tRNAs have two regions of fundamental functional importance: the anti-codon, which is responsible for specific mRNA codon recognition, and the 3' end, to which the tRNAs corresponding amino acid is attached (by aminoacyl-tRNA synthetases). tRNAs cope with the degeneracy of the genetic code in two manners: having more than one tRNA (with a specific anti-codon) for a particular amino acid; and 'wobble' base-pairing, i.e. permitting non-standard base-pairing at the 3rd anti-codon position.
Source: RNAcentral